UUCACCUACGGGGGGCAGCAGUGGGGGAUAUUGCACAAUGGGGGGAACCCUGAUGCAGCGACGCCGCGUGGGUGAAGAAGCGCCUCGGCGCGUAAAGCCCUGUCAGCAGGGAAGAAAAUGACGGUACCUGAAGAAGAAGCCCCGGCUAACUACGUGCCAGCAGCCGCGGUAAUACGUAGGGGGCAAGCGUUAUCCGGAUUUACUGGGUGUAAAGGGGGCGCAGACGGCGAUGCAAGCCAGGAGUGAAAGCCCACGGCCCAACCGUGGGACUGCUCUGGAAACUGUGCGGCUUGAGUGCGGGAGGG
This 305-nucleotide ribosomal RNA is filed under the name uncultured bacterium. RNAcentral describes it as "partial 16S ribosomal RNA". It matches the Rfam family "Bacterial small subunit ribosomal RNA", at positions 334 to 656 of the family's 1533-position model. The record is from RNAcentral.